Molecule: ribosomal RNA, 292 nt
Filed under: uncultured bacterium
Lineage: Bacteria
Description: partial 16S ribosomal RNA
Rfam family: Bacterial small subunit ribosomal RNA
Source: RNAcentral
GUGCCAGCAGCCGCGGUAAUACGGAGGAGGCAAGCGUUAUCCGGAAUCAUUGGGCGUAAAGCGUCCGCAGGUGGCUAUUCAAGUCUGCUGUCAAAGCACGGGGCUUAACCCUGUCAAGGCGGUGGAAACUGAAAGGCUAGAGAGAGGUAGGGGUAGAGGGAAUUCCCAGUGUAGCGGUGAAAUGCGUAGAGAUUGGGAAGAACAUCGGUGGCGAAAGCGCUCUACUGGACCUCAUCUGACACUCAGGGACGAAAGCUAGGGGAGCGAAUGGGAUUAGAAACCCUCGUAGUCC